Molecule: ribosomal RNA, 484 nt
Filed under: uncultured bacterium
Lineage: Bacteria
Description: partial 16S ribosomal RNA
Rfam family: Bacterial small subunit ribosomal RNA
Source: RNAcentral
AUUGAACGCUGGCGGCAGGCCUAACACAUGCAAGUCGAGCGGAUGAAGGGAGCUUGCUCCUGGAUUCAGCGGCGGACGGGUGAGUAAUGCCUAGGAAUCUGCCUGGUAGUGGGGGAUAACGUCCGGAAACGGGCGCUAAUACCGCAUACGUCCUGAGGGUGAAAGUUGGGGAUCUUCGGACCUCAUGCUAUCAGAUGAGCCUAGGUCGGAUUAGCUAGUUGGUGGGGUAAAGGCCUACCAAGGCGACGAUCCGUAACUGGUCUGAGAGGAUGAUCAGUCACACUGGAACUGAGACACGGUCCAGAGGCCUACGGGAGGCAGCAGUGGGGAAUAUUGGACAAUGGGCGAAAGCAUGAUCCAGCCAUGCCGCGUGUGUGAAGAAGGUCUUCGGAUUGUAAAGCACUUUAAGUUGGGAGGAAGGGCAGUAAGUUAAUACCUUGCUGUAUUGACGUUACCAACAGAAUAAGCACCGGCUAACUACGUG